UGCAUUCACUACUGUAAGUCACUCUGGAUAAAAGCGUCUGCUAAAUGACUAAAA
Molecule: non-coding RNA, 54 nt
Organism: Salmo salar (Atlantic salmon)
Lineage: Eukaryota; Metazoa; Chordata; Actinopteri; Salmoniformes; Salmonidae
Source: Rfam